CAUCAGCCACAGAAGGACUCCCUGCAACGUGUAUCAAACCCAAAGGUAGGAUGAAGAAUAUGAUAAAACAUACCUAUUUCUCCUUCCACUGAAAGAUGGAGCUGAGGAAGAUCUAAGAUAUCUUACACUGUCUGGUCAAAAAGUAGGCAGACAGAACACAACUGAUAAAUAAUAGAAAGAAAUCUGCACAACUUUCAGAUGUUCACAGAAAUGUUCCUGGAGGUCCAAGGAAGGAUUGUUAUGACCUGGAUGCAAAGAUGCUCAGGAAAACAAGGUUAAAUAGAAAAGGGUAUGAAGUUGAUAUUCUUCUAUUGUUUUCAAAUCUAGUGGUAAAUUAAAGUACCUUAGAUUAAGUCAUUUUCAUUCUGUGGUAUAUAGUGGUUGAACACAAAUUCAGUUAUGUGCGUUGACAUUGCAGCUCAAGUUGAUCGCUUUCAUAUUUCCUGCAUGUCCCAAAGAUGGUGUAUCCCUCUCAAGAGUGAUAUGGAUACACCUAAGAUCUCUCUGCCUGUCCUAGUCACAGUUAUAGAAGUGGGAAAGUAUGAUGGACAAGGACAAUGACUGAAUGUAAGCCAGUGUGAGUCUAGAUGUAGUUUAACUUUUAUCUUGGCAUGGUGUCCAUGCCAUCUGUAGCACAAGAGCUUUUAAUAGCUUAAUGGUACCAUUGUGUCAAGAACUUUCUAGGAAGAUACUAACUUGAUUGACCCAAUUUUUAUGUCUAAAUUCACCCUUUACUGCCACACAGAGCCCUUCAAUUUUCCAUAGUCUGUCCUCAAUCAAGUACAGUUCUUUUCUCAUCCUUGUUGUUUGAAAAACAACUUCACAGCACUUAUGAUUUGAAACUUAUAUAAGUAUUUUAGCUUUUACUCUCAUUUUUAUGUAUGAAUAUAUGCAUUUAUUUAUUUUAAAUAGCCCUUUGCCAGGUUUCCAUUCUUGCCAUAGAAUGGAUUCUUCUUUAUCCAUGUAAUUCAAAUAGCCCUUGUUAUUUCCAUUCUAGCUUAAGAUAAUUUCUGUGAAUACAGAUUACUGGAACUAUGUAAAAUAUUAUACCCUAGCUUAUACUGAUGCCUUGUAUAAUGUAGGAGGCAGAAACAUUUCCUUGUAUUCAGUGAAAAUGAUAAGAGACUGGACUUCUUUUUGCCUCUUUCUACUGUCAUGUCGCACUGGCAAGCUCUCUGUCAUCCUUUGGUUGGCUAUUUUAUCCUGUUUCAUAUUGUUUCUCUUUUGCCUCUAGCUGACAAACAUCCACUUUUUAGAAAAUGCUUUUGUCAGCAGUUGCUUGUGUGCUUUGUACCAUGCAAAUCCAUUGCUGCUACUCUAUCUUAGAGGUGUUAGAGGUCAUGCUUUCUGUAUAGAUAAUCAUCAGUAUCUUCAUUUGACAGUCAGCUAGAAUCUCAGACACCUUGUUCUCUCACUAAUGACAAGUGAGAGAUCAGUCCCUAAGACUGAUAGGUAAGCAAUGUCACUGAUGAAAUUGUCAUCUUGGGGACUUCCUUUUCAAUGUGUGCACACUUUAGCCUUCUGCUUAGUUUUUGCCUUGUCUAUCUUCAUGUUCAUAUAUUAACAGCCUUCCUGUGCUCCUUAAACAAUAAUUUCCUGUGUGGUAAAGUACUAAGUGAUUUGCCAUAAUCUAUACUCUUAGAAACAUGACAUUUACUCUUAUCUUACAAGAAAGUUAUCUUGUUGAAUGGAAAUUGUGCCAGACUGAUCUAAUAUGCACUUCUGAUAAAGAAAACUACAUUACAAUUUUGCUCUCUUUCCAUUGUCCUCCAUAGCUUGUUGUUCUUGACUUUGAAAAUCUGUGCCAAGGGCUUCUGUAGGAGUGAUCAAACUGAUGGGAAUGCAGCCACCUAGAUCACUUCAUCAAUUCUUUCCCAAAAAAGAAUUUCUGUGAUUAGAUAUACUAUCUCCAAUCAGAGGGCAGGGUCUCUCAUCUUCGCUCCACACAUUCCCAAACUGAUAAAGUAAUUAAAAAUGUCUGCUACUAAACUUACAUUUUCAGGUGUAAUUAUUUAAGUGUUUUAUCUGAUCCCUUUUUCCCUCCCUCUCCUUCUUCCUUUCUUUCACCACAGUCCACAGCUUGAACUCUGCUGUUACUUUGAAUAUGGUAAUGGAAUUACCAUUCCUACUUUUAUUCCUGAUUAAGUACCCUGUUAUUACCCUCAUAAUCUUCAUUUCUACUGAGAACUAAAGUAUUAAUUUAGUAUAUAAGACAUCUCCUUAUUCACUGUUAAUCAUUCUUCUCUUCUCAGUCUGUCUUUUUUAACUUGUUCCUCUCUUUUGUAGCUGAUGAAUACAUCAUAAUCAUUUGUUUUUAUUUUCCUUCUAAACUAAAGCUUGAUUAGACUAACUAAAUUCAUUUCUUUUCUUCUAACCUACCAAACAGAGCCCUCUUAGCUUAUUGCACUCUCUUUGUGCUCCAACUCUGUUUGUCCUUUUAACAUCCUGUCUGAUGCUUUUAUUCAUUUUAGUAGAUAUGAAGCCCAUUCCUUGAAAUCUUUUUCUCCUUGCUUGUACAUCUAUCUCUGGGUAGCAAUGACACUCGUAAUUCUGAUUUUACUCAAACCCAUAAGCUGCUCUUCCUAGUAAAUCUCACCACUUUGUACCCAGUUUCUCAACAUUUCUUCCUUUAAACUGUAAAUCUGGUUUUGUAUGUCUAUAACCCAAAGUGAUUUGAUUCAGUCACUUCAAUCCAGUGUUAUCUUCUACAAACAGGUCUUUUAUAAGGUACUCGUUGCUUUCCAAAAUAAAGUUCAGUAUGAAAUCCUGUUAGCUCAUUGUGGUGAGUUGACUCCAGCCAGCAGCUAAGUAUCCACCCACUCACCGUUAUAUACUAUCAAAUAUCCCUUUGGCCAUUUUGUGUCAGCUGUACUGAUGGUGUCCCCUCCCAGCCUCUUGCCCAUCUCUUGCCCUACUCACAGGUGCAGAGCAGGAAAAACAAAACCUUGAUGCUGUGCAAGCCCUGCUUGUCAAUAGGCAAAACAUUAGUGUGUUACCAACAUUGGUUUGGACACAAAGCCAAAACAAAACCAUAUGGCUGUUAUGAAAAAAAUCAAGUCUAUCCCAGUGAGAACCAUUAUAUUCAUUAACAGAGAAAUCAAUCAGCUGUCACAUUCAAAAUUUGUGAUCAUAGUAUGUUCAUGGGUUUUUUUAGAAUUUCCAAUAAACCAGAUCUGUCUGUUAUAUGAUACUCUUGACCUCUGGUUUUGUAAGUUACAUGUUCUGUAUGGAUAAUGAAGAAGAAAACAAAUGAUUAAAACCCUAAAUGCCCCAAAUCCCAAGGUAGAUGUUAAAAAUUAAUGUCUAGAGAGUUUUUAAUAAGUCAGUUUUCAAACUCAUCUCAUGUUGUAGGCCCUUGAAUUUUAGACAUAUGACAUCGUACAGGCGUUAAUUUAACUCUCUGUCAUUGCAUGUUUUAUUUUUUUUAAGGAAAUGUCAUGGAGCAAUCUGUACAAGACUUGGACAGCAGCUCCUCCUUUUGAUUCUUCAACUAUAGCAGGGUAAUCCAUAUGCAAAUGAAAUAAUAAACAAAAAACCUUCUAUGCCAUGGAAACAUAUUAAAGUAAGUCUUCAGAGAGUCAUGUUCUACUGCUGGAGAAAACAGCCCUGAGUCAGCACUCCCUCCUCUCCUUUCCCCCCAUCUCCCCUCCCUUCUUCAUGCUGGCAGGAAAUGAAAACUAUUUCAGUAAGUUAUAAAAAAUGUGUAGAAUCCAUGUGAUCAUUUCAGUCGUGCUGUAUACCAGCAAUGAACCUUAUUGAUAGCAUUACCAGACAUUUCCUAAGCUAUUCAAAAAUUAUCACCUGUCUUCCCCACUUUCAACCUGAGGAGACUUUAGAAGGUGCUAGGCUUUAUAAACAAACAAAUAAAUAAAUGGAUAAAUAAAUAAAUAAAUAAAUAAAUAAAGACUGCACUUUCCAGAAGGACAAGUUUGUCUGGUUUGCUUCUCUAAGAGUUCCCCACUAGGUUAACUUAUGUGCUCCCUUAUGUUGCUUUUCUGUUAGUCUUUCUGCAUCCCAGAAGGCAGGAGAGUAAAGCAGAUAGCAUCUGCUUUUGACUGGCCAAAUUGAGAGGCAACAUAUAAGUAGAUGCAAGAUCUGUAUCAGUGAGUGGAUGCAAGGCUUAGGGAUUCUCACCCAACUCAAGCAAGUUUAAGCUAGUUUAAUUUAAAUGCUGAGUGUGGCAGAAGAAGGUGCUAUAACAGGUAAGAUUCCCUGGGACUAACUGAGGCCUGAUCCAAAAUUCAAAGGCUUAACGGCCUUUGAAGCGGAUCUUGGAUUCCCACUUGAAUCUAGUGAUGUGGUUAACUGCCAAAACUGGAAUGCUAUCAUUGCUGACCAAUAUUUUCAGAUGUGGUCAAGUAAAUAGCUUGAUUUCUAGAAGCGUUCAGUACUCUUUGCCCCUAAAGACUUAGCGAAUAUACGUACGCUGUUCCAGGUUAGCACUCAAGCUUUAAAAUUCACACUGCAUGCUGUGUUCUGCUACAACCAAGCAAUUCUCAAGUAUAUGAAUGAAUUUUAUACAGAAGAUUUAUAUGCACAGUAAUUCAUUCAAACAUUUUUUGUUUCCUCUUUUUGUAUUCUCCUCUCCCUGGCACAUUAUUUGUUUUGGAGGUUAAAGAUUUUUAAGCACAGGUGAAGACUAGCAUAGAUGACAGAACUGACAGCUUUACAUGUCUCUACCAAGAUAUCACAGUCUUGUGAUAACAGUCAAGUUCCACUGCCCAUUUUACCUGGAGCCGUUCCUGAGAUUUUCAACAAGGUUGCCAAUUAGAAGCAAUUGUGACAUUUUGUUAGUGUGUGAUACAAGACCUGCUGACUAGGAGUUGCUGAAACCACCAGCUCAUUUCACAAUAUUUAAACAGUAAAUUACCAUACCUAGCAUUUUUGUCAGCAAGCUGAAGGAUUGAUUGAUUGGGUGUGUACAUCCUGCAGAGUGAUUAUUGUCAGCCAUAAAUGUUAUGGGGUGAAUGCUGCUUUUAAUUUACAAGGAUGUCAAGAUACUUAUAGACAAAGUGUUCAGGUAAGACUGGCUGUGCUCACGUUGAGUGAUCCACUUGUACUCUCUCAGACCUCCUGUGUACAAUGAUUAAUGUGGGGAAAAAAAAGGCAUGACAGGAAAGGAGUGGAAUAAAAAAUGAAGAAGAGUGCUGGCAGGAACAAAAGUGAGGAUGAAAAACUCUGAAAGCUGACUUGUACUCUGCAUGAAAAACUUUUUUCCCUUUUUUGCACCUAUGAAAAUGCAAGAAGAUGGCAACAAUGCUACAUGGUGGAGGGUUAGUACCCAUGGAACAGAAGGUAGUCUUAGGGGAAGCAGAUAAGAGUAUCAAAGUAUAUGUCGGAGUAGACCAUUCCCCAAAUCCCUUGGUACUGAGCUCUCACACUGCUGACGGCAUAUACACAUUAAAAUCACCUAAUAUACUGCAUGUAUUAUAUUGCUGAUGCAGCAAAAUAGAGUCUACCAUUUGGAGAGUUUUUCUCAGUCAUUUGCUUUGUGUCACUCUGCCAGUGGCCUGAUUGCUGACCAAAACCCAUCAUCCUUAAGGACAUUUUUAAUAUUGACAGCUUCUUCUCCUCAGUACACCUCUAGAUGAAAGCGGCAAGCAUGUACAUUCCUUUUUACUGUGUUGUUUGCUUUUUUGUUCUCUCCUCCUAGGCCAAUAACUCUCAAUAAAGAUCCCACGCUUCACCCUGGUUUUUUCUCUCUUUUUCUUAGCCAUGCUGAAAUGAGAACUUUUAAAACCUAUUUUUACCAUAUUUAUCCUAAAAAUAUGCUCAUCUUUUGCCACACGUUAGUAAGAAUUGCUUGAUUUUGCAAGUCUUCACAUCUGAAAACAUGCCACCUCUAGUUCCUUCUAUGUUUUGCUUAUUUCAAUAUAAAUGACACAAUGUCCUCUACAAUGCAUUGCAUCUUCCCCACAAUUUUCCUACUCUAUUCUCACUUCUCUGCAUUUUUUUGGUGGCUCAUAUUAUUUGCUACAGGAGAUUCACCACAGCCACAACAUCCUUCUGAAGCAAACUGAGAUCACAGCACUGCACUUGAAACACUAGAGGUUGCUAAAGCUUGUGUUUGUUCAUUGGGUUUUCUCAAGUGAAACAAACAGUAAGAUGGUAGAUCUUACUGAAUUUAAGUCAUGGAAGGAAAAUUCCUCUUACUCUCAACUACCUAAAGUCCUUCUAGAUAAUUCUUUCUCAGAAUUCUCCUGCUCCCUGACUGUUAACAAAAGGCACAAGAAAAAAUCCUGUUCCAGUGUGUAAAAGACAUCUAUGAUAAAUACAGGAUAUUUGGGAUACAGAAAACUGAGGAUAAAUACAGGAUCAAGGAUUUAAUCUUUAGGGUCUGUUUACACUUUGUCAGACAUGAAAGUUUCUGACUUAAGAAUAGUGGAUGGCCCUGUUUUAAAAUAUCUGUUAUAAGAAUACAGCCUGGCAAAGGGAGACUGUGCUCAAGCACUAGCCAUGGCUAUGAUAAUCAAUUUUCACAACACUGUGAGAAACCUGACUGGUAUAGUGUUGUUCUUAAGUAUCACAGGUUAUGGAGUCAAGUCAUUAUGAAGGAACUCAUAUUAUUUUCUCUUGGAAAAAAGAUUGCUUAGCUGAAAAUAUUGUGAGACACGCAUCUGCCAUGCCCCUCAAAAUGAAAAACAAAUAGAGAGAUGCCCAGAUGGGUUAUUUUUAGUAACUGCAUGGUUUCAUAGGCUUAAUUUAUAAGUAGUGAACAGUUGGGACCGCCAAUCUGUGAAUGGUCUUUGGAGGAACUGCUUGGGCUCCUUUCCAAACUCUCUUCCUGAGGGGGGUAGGGAGUUUGUAAUGAACUCUCCCUGACAUCUGGGCUGGGGGAAGCUAACAGACUGCCUUUGUUCUCAGUAAUUCCAGUGGUUUGCAGUAGAGUUCAAUGCCCCCCAGAAUGUUCUUGUUUCAGGAAGGGAAAGCAAAACCAUGAGAAGUGAUUCUGAAUCUGAUAGCAAAAGCUGCCCCCUGCUUCCAGGAGGAUACAAAAGCAGGGGAAUGACAGGGCCAGCUGGCUGGACAGGGACUCCAGUGUGGCGGGCAGGAUGUGAUCCCAUGUGAUGGCAUCAGAUUAGGAGGUUGCCUAACUUGUGUGAGCACAUCGCAUAGCUUCUGAGCAAUAGGAGGUCCUAUAUUUAGAGAAGGAGAAUAAUAGACAAGAUAUGGUGCCUGAUUCUCCUUAAAACUCUAGUCUACUUGCAUACGUGAACAGACUCCCAUUGAUUUCAAUGGCUAAGACUCCUCCAUUUCAUCCCCAGUAGCAUGGCAGACUUUACAAUGCUAAUGGAAGCGAAGUUUACCCAAGUAAAAAGCAUGUAGUUUUGUUCUAUGUGCAACUGAUGCUUUUAAAAUAGCAGAAAAAAUAGCAACUGUGUCAGCUCUCCUCUUCCUGCAAGGGCUUGUUAACGCAUUGUAAGCCUUUUCUGCUUUACUUACUAAGACAUUGCUGAACUUUUUCAACAAAAUUAAUUUUAUAAAUAAACUUCGUUACUAUGGUUGGUCAGAGUUGAGUCUCUGGUCAAAGACUAAAGCAAAGCCCUUUUGAUGAGUUAGUCAUUCUUUGCACUUUAAGCCUACGUAUUUGGAGAAAGAAAAGUUGAAAGCAUCUUGGGUUGAGCCCAACUUCUUGUGUUACAAGAGCUAUGAAGAGCAGCGCAAGAUUAUUUACAGUGCAAAUGAAAAUCAAUUUGUGCCUGUUCCUUGGCUGGUAUGUGAAACAGACCCUGUUUUGUAAUACUGCUGAUCUCUGUGUAGUCAUAGAACAGAGAUUCACUUGCUUCUUAUCUCCGAUAAUUAACUGCUACAAAUGUCAGGCAAUUAUGCUGAAUGAGUGUGCUGCACCUUCAUUAGUCUUCUUCUUUUGUCCGAGUUGCCAAUUUUGAAAGCUGCCCAGCUACCGAAACUCCACUUAAAGUACCUAAGAUCAGAAACAAGCCCAGGGCAGUAACAUAGUAUGAUACUAGAAUAAAUAAAGCAUUCGUUGACUCAUGACCCAUCUAGAUCAGAAGCCCUCAAGGAUGUUUUAUGCUAAAAUAAAUAAAUAGAUCUCUGAAGUUAACUGAUGGCUCCAUGCAGAGCAGGCUCAACACUUAGUGUAAUAUUUGCCUCAACAGCAAAAAAGCAGGCAGAGAGCUGCCCUGCAGCUCUGCUGUUCCAGACAGAGGAGAAUUCAAGCAGGACUAUGCCUCCUCCCUACCACCUGCUCUCUCCACCUUCUCUGAAGAAGACAUGUCAGCACAGGGCAGAAAGCACAGCCUUCGGCUUCUUUGAAUUAUACAGAUGGCUAAACAGUCCCCAGCUAGCCCAGGAUUAGAGGGGUGGACUUAAGCUGCUUAAAGCCACCUUUCUCACUGCUUAACAAAUGUUUUUAAAUUGUGCAGAAGGCAAAAAAAUAUGAUAGAGAAUCUGUCCUUAAACACGGCUUGGGAUUCUUUCUCUCACUCCUUAUGUCAUGAUGUACCUUCUAUGACCUGGCUGACAAGGAAAUCUGGUGCUACUCUAGUCUUAAUAUCUUCCCUUGUUAAGGUUUUAACUACUCUUCACUUCAUGCAACACUGCAUAUAAAGAGACUGAGCCCAACAUUCAAGUAUUUAUUUUAAUUUAACAAGAGAUAAGAUUGUGGUCACUUUUGGGCACAGUUCAUGCCUUCUUAAUUUGGAAGACAACAAGCAUAGGCUACGUACAUCUGAAGCAAACAAUGACAAGCCAUUAUUGUCAAAUGUAGCUACAAUAAAGUGGACUUGUUUAUCUUGAAGUUCCCCACACUCAUACAUUUUCCAUGUUGAAGACUUGAUGUAAACACUACAUUUCAGUGAUGGAGGACCAGUCUCUCCGAGACAAGAAAUCACAUUUCUAGACAUUGAUUUCUGAACUAUGGUAUAAGAUGUCUCACUUGAAGUCCUUCAGGGGUGUACUAUCUGCAAAACUUUUCCUAUGGUGGCCAUAAGGAAAGUGCAAUGAUUUUAGCAUUUCGGAAUAGUUUCACCCACUUUGAUACUGGUAAGUAUGUGAACUCAACUUUUUAGACUAUGGUGAAUUACUGAUGAAGUAAUAUUGAGAGAUCCUUAUGUUGGAUUAUGUUGCAAAAAAUGCAAACAGAAAAUGCAGUACAGAGCCACGAUUGUGGUUUAAAAUUAAAAAUUCUGAAUCUGCUAUUUGGAGUCCAGAAGAAUUUAUUUCCGAGUGGGCAUGGCACUUCUUCAUCACUCUGUGAGUGAGCAUUUAUCUCAUGAUUUCCAAUAUGAUCUAGUCUUUUUAAUUUUAUUGCUAUAAGAUCACUGUCCUUGGAUGUCAUUGCCUUCUGCCUUCCCUGAUGUACAGGCUUGGGACAAUAUACUUUCUGUUUGAUCUGAUCACUCUUUCACCUUGGAUCUUUCUUUCUCUGUAUGCAGAUCUCCACAAAAUCUGAAAAAUUUUCUCAUUUAAGUUAGCACAGCAUCCCUGAUCAGUCGGAACUGGCCCUAAAGUGAUUUUUUUAGCAUUUUCUUCAGACACUGUUUGCCAUGAUCUCAGCUGGUCUACACAGAGACACUGGACUUGCUCAGAUUCUGAAAAAAGCAUCCAUGUAGGGGAACUCAGUGAAAAAGGGCAAUUCGACCUAUCACAGACUCUUUACCAAGCACAGAGGAAAGAGUAAGAAUCUGAGAUCAGUCUAGAGUGCAGUGGGCAGUGCCCUCUGCCUCCCAGGGAGGCUGGCUACAGCCUGAGCUGGGAGAUUUCAGAGAGCAGGUGGAUUCCUGGGUAGUAUCUGAGACUUUGUUUUGUGUGAUGACAAUACACUCCUCCUGAAAAAGUGGAAAGCAUAAGAACAAUGGUCAGACCACUGCAUCUGAGUGGGCCAAAGUCAGAAAGUAAUGUGUGACAAGUGAUUUUAUGGGAACAAACAAUUCUUGAAUUGCUGGAAACUGCUCCAAUUUGUGGAUCUGUUUCUCAAAUUCAUCCAAAAAGACUGACAUGUGUGGCCAAUCUCAUCAUGCCAGUAGGCCCUGUCUCCACAUACCUCUAUUCUCUGGAAUGUGAUGCACCUUCCAAAUUCAUACUUGGACCGGAUGGUAGCAAUUUUCAGAAUGCAGAUGCUGGCACUGAUGAUGCUACUCCAAAGAAGUUUUAGUGAAAAGGGAAAUUACCUUUGUCCAUCUCCUUGGCAACUUCCAGAAAACAGAUAAGCAUGAAUCAUGCUUCUAAUCUCAACCGUUGCAUUAGGGAUUAAAGAACUAGACAUGGGAAAGGAAAAUAGCACCCCAUUUAUGUUGUAACUGCACAAGUCCAUGACUCCACUGCAUCCACAAAUAUAAUGUGCAAUAAAAGCAUUGGACUGUGCUUGUUUGGGGGUCCCUUGGCUUGAAGGGGAAGUUUCUCUGACUGGAAAUGGGAUGGAUUGGUUUCUCAUUACACAGCAGAAUAUUAGUCUGCAAAGUAUGACCACCCUCAGUUGACCAAAUCACCAUCCCACGGAGCACAUGUACACAUCCUGUCAUCUCCAGUCACCUGCCUUCUCCACAUUGCAAAUUCUUAUUGGCCAGGCACAUUGACAGCUCCCAGUAACCUUUUAAAACCAGAAAGCAAUCUACCAUGGGAAUCAUCCUGCCAAGGUUCCAGGAUUAGCAUUCCUAUGCAUAAACAGAAGCAGCAAACAAAAUAAAUGAACUAAAGUGCACACAAUACACUCCGAAAUAUGGGACAUUAGUCCCUUGACAAAUGCCGGUUUGAACACAAAAUGUCAUGCUAAUUUGGGAAUAGUAUAACUGCAGGUUCAUAUGAAAUCUCAGUCAAACUUGCACUGCCACAGACAACAGACAUACUAAAGGUCAUGGAGCCACAGUCUCAUUGUCAGUUCUUCUUUGGAAUGUCAGUAAUAUUCAAGUAGCUAUGGACAAAGCCUUCAAGGCCUGUUUGGUACCAGAUAAAAUAAAAUAUCCAGACCCUACAACUCCUGCUUCCUGGCAGUUCUCUUCUUUCCACAGCAGUCUCUCCCACUCCUUCCUAUACCACCUUGCCUUUCUCAUUCUCCCAGUACUUAAGUAAACAGCAGCAAAGACCUUGAGCAAGAGCUAACUGCCAACAUGUGGCACAGACAUAGUCAAAGGAGGCUCUGUAAGGUCCCUAAGCAGACCACAAGAGAACUGUGCUGACAAAAUCCUCUUGAGAUUUCCAUGGAUCCUUUUAACACAGUUUAGGCACUCGUAAGUGCUUUUAAGGAAUUUUAACUUAUAUGGAUAAAAAUAGCACCUUUCUGGGCAGUGAAUCUGUUGAGAACUGGUAUUUGAGAACAGAUCUGCCUUCAAGGUAGCAUUCCUCAAGCUGUACGAAUUCUUUAUCUAGACGGGUAAAAAGCAUUGAGGGGUAAAAAACUGCUCAUUUUGAGUAAGUUUUUAUACAAAGUUGAGAAGCAGAAAAAUUAGUUCAUAUGUCCUCAUAACUGAUGUUUUCUAUGCAAUUCAAAGCAGUGCAGUCCUCCAAAAAAAUCCUUUGAAAGAAUUUUUAUAAAGCCUCUGUGGUCUUUACUCCACAUAACAGACCAGAAAACACUAUAAUAAAAUUGGAUUACCAUGAAUAUCCAGUCUCAAGGUAGGCGACCUGUUCCCAUGUGUUCGCUCCAAUACCUGUGCCCCAAGAGCCUAUGAAGUAGCAUGUCCAAAUUCAGGCCUGUGCACCAAAAAAAAUCUUCACCUUGAAAAAAAAUAUAUACAACUUCCACUAUGCACUUUCAUGCAUGCCAAGGCAAGUUGGAGAGAUUGUAAUGUGCUCUAAUAGGCACUCCCUGAAACUGCUACAUGCUUUGUCUUCAGCCAAGGAGCAUUCAGAAAAUGUGGCAUUUGUUUCCUCCCCUGGAAAACAAUAGAAUAUCAGAGAACUUGCUCUCCAUCUGAUCCUCCUAAUAUCAGUAAUCUGCUGGUUUGACAUCAUAAGAAGAGUGAGCACAGGGAUCUUUGUCAAAGAGACAAGCAUAUCCCCACUAGGAGGAGUGCAGCUUGCAAGUCGGCACAAUGCCCACGGUGCAGAGCAGAGAGGGGCGGGAUGAGCACUGUGCUCAGGUAUGGACAUUGAAAGCUGGAAUGCUGCAUGGAGCAGGUGGGCCCCUGGGAGCUUUAAAGUGACUGGGAGGAAGGGGCUGACAGAAGAUUGUUGGGAGGAUUUUUUUUUUACCUGAUUUUUUUUUUUGUUUGGUUUUGGUUUGUGGGUUGGGGUUUUUUUUAUUAUUUUAUUUUGUUUGGUUUGGUUUUGGGGUUUUGGGGGCUCUUGGGGGGGUUUGUUUGUUUGCUUGAUUGUUGUUGUUUGCCCUUCUCCAUGGUAGCUGGGCAACAGAGAGAAAGAUGCAAAUUUGGGAGUGUGUGUGAAGGGUGAGAAUGGAACAGAUAAAGAACAGGCUUCUGCCUCAGGUAGGAAAGGUGUUGGCACCCUGGGAAAUAUGAGAGAAGUGUAAACAAAAGGCACAGUUGUGCAAAGCCUUGGAACUUAAACAAGCAUCAUCUUUGAUGCCCCAGGUAAGUGAAAACUAGUUCAAGUUCUUAGUGCAAUAAUACCUUGCUCAUAUUAUGCAUGCUGGCCCUAUCUUGCAGUCAUACCCAGAUAGGCACUGUGCCCUUUUGCUUUUGGGAAGUCCAUGAAUAAAUAUGGAGGAAUCUACAUCUGGAGCAUCUAUAUAUGCAAAUGACUGCUCGCUCACAAUUCCCGUUAGAGAACUCUGGUCAUCAUUAACUAAGCAAGCAUUGGCAGGCUCAUCAGCUAGAAGGAGGACAAUGUUUUUCACAUUGUGUUAUGUCACAAAAGGAGCAUAUUUCUCCAAAAUUGCUCUCUAUAUUUCUUAGCAAAAGAAUGCUUUUGAAAAAUAUACCAACAAAGCUACAAGCUUGUUAAAUAUUACGUUUAAACAAUUUACUGUCUUGCAUGAAAUCUGCUUUUUUGUCCUUAGCUACCUUAAUGACGAGUUCUUCAAACAGCCAAUGCAGUGAUUAUUCAGUGUUGUCUACAUAGCUGUAGUUAGAGCUUAAAAAACAGUAACUCCUUUCAUUCUCAUGUUUUUAACUGAAAUUUUGUCUCUCAGGAAAAGCUGAAAAUAAUGUUCAGAAAAUGUCAUGAAGAAUUAAACACUUGCUAAACUCUUCUCUGGAUCCCACAUUUAUUUGGGCAAUAACACUACCAAUUUCAGUUAAAAAGCCAUUAUUUACUCUAAAUCUGGCUUAUUCCAAGCAAUUUAGCAUGGAGCAGAAACAUUGGGACACCUUGAAAGCAGCCAUAAAUUUAAAUUUGCAUCUAGGAGAGAGAUGCCUUGUCAGUACAGAACUUUCUGGAAGCUGCUUUUUUAGAGCCUUUAGUUCUUACUGUUUAUAGACUACAUUAGGCAUUCAUUCAACAAGGUCCUCAAGGAACAAAAAAAUGCAUUUUAGUUAUAUGUAGCUUGCCCAUGUGAUAUUUUGAACUAGUACAACAAUGAGUCUCUGGUAGAGAAGUUGGUUAAGAUGUGGAGAGGGUUUCAUUUAUUAAGAGAUAAAGAAAAAUAAAGCAUUUUCAACCUUUUGGAAAAAAACCCUUUAAGAGCUCAGUAAUUGCAAACUCUGCAAACUCCAGGGUUAUCGAAAAUACAAAGCUGUUAUUUCUAAAAGUAUUGAGGAAAAAUUCAAUGGGCAGAGCAUAUACUUGCUGUUCUACUAGGAAGCUUAGACCCAAGUAAAUGAGCCUUGGGAAAGGCACAGCAAAAUA
Pseudopipra pipra is the source of this 13707-nucleotide long non-coding RNA. RefSeq lists it as uncharacterized. Lineage: Eukaryota; Metazoa; Chordata; Aves; Passeriformes; Pipridae. The record is from RefSeq and is a predicted model, not a curated record. The transcript is spliced from 3 exons.